RNAcentral lists this ribosomal RNA (391 nucleotides) under Massilia psychrophila. RNAcentral describes it as "bacterial SSU rRNA". It matches the Rfam family "Bacterial small subunit ribosomal RNA", at positions 198 to 570 of the family's 1533-position model. Lineage: Bacteria; Pseudomonadati; Pseudomonadota; Betaproteobacteria; Burkholderiales; Oxalobacteraceae. The record is from RNAcentral.
GGAUGAAAGCAGGGGACCGCAAGGCCUUGUGCUCCUGGAGCGGCCGAUAUCUGAUUAGCUAGUUGGUAGGGUAAAGGCCUACCAAGGCAUCGAUCAGUAGCUGGUCUGAGAGGACGACCAGCCACACUGGAACUGAGACACGGUCCAGACUCCUACGGGAGGCAGCAGUGGGGAAUUUUGGACAAUGGGCGCAAGCCUGAUCCAGCAAUGCCGCGUGAGUGAAGAAGGCCUUCGGGUUGUAAAGCUCUUUUGUCAGGGAAGAAACGGUGCGGGCUAAUACCCUGCACUAAUGACGGUACCUGAAGAAUAAGCACCGGCUAACUACGUGCCAGCAGCCGCGGUAAUACGUAGGGUGCAAGCGUUAAUCGGAAUUACUGGGCGUAAAGCGUGC